This 755-nucleotide long non-coding RNA is filed under the name Homo sapiens (human). The record is from RNAcentral. Lineage: Eukaryota; Metazoa; Chordata; Mammalia; Primates; Hominidae.
UUUUGUUUUUGUUUUUGCAUUUGUGUUUGUCAAGAAAAGUAGAAAGGCUGAUGCUUCUUGCCUGUUUUUCCAACUCUUUUAAUGCUAUAAAAUGCACCCCAAAUUUAACCCAUUCUCUCUCCUAGGAUUUGAUAUACCCAGUUUACUCCCUUGAAGGUCCUCUAUCUCAUCAAAGCUUUAGAUUUUAAAAGCAUGAUUGUAUAUUUUUAUUUUCAAAAAGAUUUUGAUUUUGGAGAUAUUUUAAAAUUGGAAAUUGAACUCAGAUAGGCUUUACCAUUUGUCUGUUUUCUUAGAAGAAUAAAUGCUAUUUGCAAUAUAAGAGUUAGCUGCCAGAAACCUAAGAAAGUUAUGUUCAAAUUAUUUUUACAAAUAGAUGUUCACAUCACCUUUAAACAGUAGUAAUGGCUCAGAAAAAAUCAAGCAAAGUUAACAUCUUUAAAAAAAUACAAACCACAUUGCUUUACAGGAUGAGGUUGUGCUUAAUAACGUAUGCUUAAUUCAUUCAGAAACUACACGAUUUUUGUUGCUAUAUUUUGUUAGAAAGGAAGGAGAGACUGUUUCUACAGGUGUCAUACAAAAAUCAAUACUGAGCCAAGGAUUAUUGGAUCCCAUAGAACCACGGAGACUUGGUAGUGAAAUUCUUCCAAAGCAUUCCAUCCGUGCAGGCAGAUGGUGUUCCUAGGUUUGGAAAUAUAAAUCCCAUGGGAAGUCAGCUGAAGACCAUUUUAUGCAUCACUCAUCCUGUUAGAGCCCUG